AUUGAACGCUGGCGGCAGGCCUAACACAUGCAAGUCGAACGGUAACAGGAAGAAGCUUGCUUCUUUGCUGACGAGUGGCGGACGGGUGAGUAAUGUCUGGGAAACUGCCUGAUGGAGGGGGAUAACUACUGGAAACGGUAGCUAAUACCGCAUAAUGUCGCAAGACCAAAGAGGGGGACCUUCGGGCCUCUUGCCAUCGGAUGUGCCCAGAUGGGAUUAGCUAGUAGGUGGGGUAACGGCUCACCUAGGCGACGAUCCCUAGCUGGUCUGAGAGGAUGACCAGCCGCACUGGAACUGAGACACGGUCCAGACUCCUACGGGAGGCAGCAGUGGGGAAUAUUGCACAAUGGGCGCAAGCCUGAUGCAGCUAUGCCGCGUGUAUGAAGAAGGCCUUCGGGUUGUAAAGUACUUUCAGCGGGGAGGAAGGGAGUAAAGUUAAUACCUUUGCUCAUUGACGUUACCCGCAGAAGAAGCACCGGCUAACUCCGUG
This 490-nucleotide ribosomal RNA is filed under the name uncultured bacterium. RNAcentral describes it as "partial 16S ribosomal RNA". It matches the Rfam family "Bacterial small subunit ribosomal RNA", at positions 30 to 507 of the family's 1533-position model. The record is from RNAcentral.